UGGGGAAUUUUGGACAAUGGGCGCAAGCCUGAUCCAGCAGUGCCGCGUGCAGGAUGAAGGCCUUCGGGUUGUAAACUGCUUUUGUACGGAACGAAAAGCUUCUGGUUAAUAUCUGGGAGUCAUGACGGUACCGUAAGAAUAAGCACCGGCUAACUACGUGCCAGCAGCCGCGGUAAUACGUAGGGUGCGAGCGUUAAUCGGAAUUACUGGGCGUAAAGCGUGCGCAGGCGGUUAUGUAAGACAGAGGUGAAAUCCCCGGGCUCAACCUGGGAACUGCCUUUGUGACUGCAUGGCUAGAGUGCGGCAGAGGGGGAUGGAAUUCCGCGUGUAGCAGUGAAAUGCGUAGAUAUGCGGAGGAACACCGAUGGCGAAGGCAAUCCCCUGGGCCUGCACUGACGCUCACGCACGAAAGCGUGGGGAGCAAACA
Molecule: ribosomal RNA, 427 nt
Filed under: uncultured bacterium
Lineage: Bacteria
Description: bacterial SSU rRNA
Rfam family: Bacterial small subunit ribosomal RNA
Source: RNAcentral